Long non-coding RNA from Ahaetulla prasina, 1515 nucleotides. RefSeq lists it as uncharacterized. NCBI's taxonomy places the organism in Eukaryota, Metazoa, Chordata, Lepidosauria, Squamata, Colubridae. The transcript has 2 exons. The record is from RefSeq and is a predicted model, not a curated record.
GUUUAAUUACACUGAUUUGGCAACCGGCAAAUGCAGCAUGUCAGGAGCAUGUGCUCAACUUACAACAGUUCAUUUAGUGACCAUUCAGAAUUACAACGGCACUGAAAAAAGUGACUUAUGACCGUUUUUCACACUUACAACUGUUGCAGCAUCCCCUUGGUCACAUGAUCAAAACUUAGCUGUUUGGCAACUGGUUCGUAUUUGCGACAAUUGUAGUUUCCUAGGGUCAUGUGACUCCCUUUUGCGACCUUCUGAUAAGCAAGGUCAGUGGGGAAGCCCAAUUCCCUUAACAACCAUGUUACUAAGAACUGCACUCAGCAACCGUGGCAAGAAAAGUCAUGAAAUGGGGCAAAACUCAUUUAAUCAAAUGUCUCACUUAGCAGCAGAAAUUUUAGGCUCAAUUGUGGUCGUAAGACGAGGACUACCUGUUUUUCUUCAUCUAACUUUCCCGAAAGCUAUUUUUAGACCACGUUCUGAAAUUCUGCAUCUCCAAAAAGUAAUCAUAAGCAUGUACAGGCACGUGCUAAAACAUCACCACUCUUGCCUUCCCCUUUUCAAGCAGCAAACUUUUUUUGAAAAAAAAAAAAAAUCCAAAGCAGAGGACAUUACCUUUCUUCAUUGAUAUUUACUUUAUGUUUGUUACCCAGGUAAAAUGUUCACAAACGUAUCUGCAAAGUGCAACAGCCAAUCACUGGGUGGGAUUUAUGAUUACCGCAUCAAUCUGAAGCUUUAUUUAAGGGAGAGAAAUUAGUCAACAACUAUCAGACGCAACCAGAAUCUCAGAGGCUUCCCUGGAUUUUAUUCUGAUCACAAGCUCCUGAAACUGAGAACAGGAUGAAGAGGCAGAUGAAAUGGCUUUGGCCUGCGGUGAUGCUUGCAAUCCUGAGCGAACUUCUCUGGACCGCUUCUGCACAAACCGCUGAAGCUCCCAAACCACAGCCUAUUGCAAACAAAACUCAAGCCUCAACUCCGUCACCGUCACACGGCAGCGUUCUUCUGCCUGCCCUCUCUCUCAUUUCGAUCACCUCAUCUUUAUGUGUUUUCUUUGUCUCUCAACCUAAGUUUUAAAAGGGCCUUAUUAUCGGUGGGAUUGCAAAUCAAAGGAAAAAUUAAUCUGUCUCAAUCUGACAAAAUUUUGGUAUCCUUCUGCUGUCCUUCUGAUGUCUGCGUGUCGCUUUGUUAGCAAAUCCACAACGAUGUGUGAUUUUAAAAUUUAAUUUUUAAAUUAAUUUCCCCAGUCUGAUGGUAAAUGGAGACAGUAGGCUAAAUUAUUGUUAUUAAUUGUUGAAAUGAAUUGAACAUCUUUUAAAUAUAAUUACGGAAAAUUGCUGUAUUAAGAAGGCUUUAUCUAGAGGAAAGCUGAUCGACCACAACCUGGGCUACAGAAUCAAAAGCCGCAUCGACAAAACUGACAAAACUUGUGUCAUGGAUGGACUAUUUUGAAAAAUAAUAGGAGGACUCAAUCAAGACUUUUAUGUAGCGUGUCUUACAUUAAAUGAAAUCUGAUAACAAAAA